This 301-nucleotide ribosomal RNA is filed under the name uncultured bacterium. RNAcentral's name for it is "partial 16S ribosomal RNA". It matches the Rfam family "Bacterial small subunit ribosomal RNA", at positions 509 to 807 of the family's 1533-position model. The record is from RNAcentral.
CAGCCGCCGCGGGAAUACGGAGGGAGCUAGCGUUGUUCGGAAUUACUGGGCGUAAAGCGCGCGUGGGCGGUUACUCAAGUCAGAGGUGAAAGCCCGGGGCUCAACCCCGGAACUGCCUUUGAAACUAGGUGACUAGAAUCUUGGAGAGGUCAGUGGAAUUCCGAGUGUAGAGGUGAAAUUCGUAGAUAUUCGGAAGAACACCAGUGGCGAAGGCGACUGACUGGACAAGUAUUGACGCUGAGGUGCGAAAGCGUGGGGAGCAAACAGGAUUAGAGACCCGCGUAGUCCCUGUCUCUUAUAC